RNAcentral lists this non-coding RNA (135 nucleotides) under Lysobacter sp. Its description in RNAcentral is "Glycine sequence". It matches the Rfam family "Glycine riboswitch aptamer". From Rfam's summary of the family: This family represents the bacterial glycine riboswitch. Glycine riboswitches usually consist of two metabolite-binding aptamers domains with similar structures in tandem. RNAcentral also lists the same sequence under 1 other name. Lineage: Bacteria; Pseudomonadati; Pseudomonadota; Gammaproteobacteria; Lysobacterales; Lysobacteraceae. The record is from RNAcentral.
GCGAAACACUCUGGAGAGACCGGCUCGCACGUUGUGGUAGCGAGAACCGGCGCCGAAGGGGCAAGAAGCACGGUCGGGAUUCCUCCCCUCCCGCCCGCUUCCCAAACUCUCAGGCAGAAGGACAGAGGGGCACGA